Ornithorhynchus anatinus (platypus) is the source of this 534-nucleotide long non-coding RNA. RefSeq lists it as uncharacterized. NCBI's taxonomy places the organism in Eukaryota, Metazoa, Chordata, Mammalia, Monotremata, Ornithorhynchidae. The transcript has 3 exons. The record is from RefSeq and is a predicted model, not a curated record.
GAUCGUUGCCUGGAGAGUGACAGAAAGCAACAUAAGAUUCAUAACAGUAUAACCGUCUGUGUGAAGUACAUAGAAUUAUGAAAAGAAACGGAGCGACAUUUUAGGCUGACUGCCUGAAAAGGAGCCAGCGGUCGAAAGGGAUGCGGCAGGUGACAGCAUUCUACAGCAGACGUCCAUCAUCAAGCAGAAAAAUCGCUGCACAACGCCUACUGCAAUUCAUGAACAUGACAUAAAGUGAAUGCUGCCGUAGCAAUAUCAUGUUUAUGGUCAGUAAAAAAUGGAGAAGCCAGAGACGUGCACAUAAUUACCGGGAAACUCACUUGUACGCUACUGCCAUUUACCAAAGAAGAAGUUGCCCGCAAGUGAAUUUGCAUACAAAUGAGUUGCUGACUGAACAAUAACUGGACAGUGAUCAGACUUCACGUUCCUAUUAUGAAGGCCCUUUGGUAUCCAAAAAUACAUUUAUACAAUCAGCACUCUAGUCUUGAAAGCUAAUCGCCACCAAAAUAAAUUCAAAGAGCCUGCUGAGCUUUA